GACGAACGCUGGCGGCGUGCUUAACACAUGCAAGUCGAACGAGAAGAGAUGAGAAGCUUGCUUCUUAUUGAUUCGAGUGGCAAACGGGUGAGUAACGCGUAAGCAACCUGCCCUUCAGAUGGGGACAACAGCUGGAAACGGCUGCUAAUACCGAAUACGUUCUUUUGUCGCAUGGCAGAGGGAAGAAAGGGAGGCUCUUCGGAGCUUUCGCUGAAGGAGGGGCUUGCGUCUGAUUAGCUAGUUGGAGGGGUAACGGCCCACCAAGGCGACGAUCAGUAGCCGGCCUGAGAGGGUGAACGGCCACAUUGGAACUGAGACACGGUCCAGACUCCUACGGGAGGCAGCAGUGGGGAAUCUUCCGCAAUGGCGAAAGCCUGACGGAGCAACGCCGCGUGAGUGAAGAAGGUCUUCGGAUCGUAAAGCUCUGUUGUCGGGGACGAAUGUUGAGACCUAGAACAUAGGUUUCAAAUUGACGGUACCUGACGAGGAAGCCACGGCUAACUAC
RNAcentral lists this ribosomal RNA (505 nucleotides) under uncultured bacterium. Its description in RNAcentral is "bacterial SSU rRNA". It matches the Rfam family "Bacterial small subunit ribosomal RNA", at positions 28 to 504 of the family's 1533-position model. The record is from RNAcentral.